Molecule: transfer RNA, 71 nt
Filed under: Candidatus Iainarchaeum sp.
Lineage: Archaea; Nanobdellati; Candidatus Iainarchaeota; Candidatus Iainarchaeia; Candidatus Iainarchaeales; Candidatus Iainarchaeaceae
Also listed under: 1 other name
Description: tRNA-Gly
Rfam family: tRNA
About the family: Transfer RNA (tRNA) molecules are approximately 80 nucleotides in length. Their secondary structure includes four short double-helical elements and three loops (D, anti-codon, and T loops).
Source: RNAcentral
GCGGCCGUGGUGUAGUGGCAGCACAAGAGCCUUCCAAGCUCUCGGCCCGGGUUCAAAUCCCGGCGGUCGCA